CAGCCGCCGCGGUAAUACAGAGGGUGCGAGCGUUAAUCGGAUUUACUGGGCGUAAAGCGUGCGUAGGCGGCUAAUUGAGUCGGAUGUGAAAUCCCCGAGCUUAACUUGGGAAUUGCAUUCGAUACUGGGAAGCUAGAGUAUGGGAGAGGAUGGUAGAAUUCCAGGUGUAGCGGUGAAAUGCGUAGAGAUCUGGAGGAAUACCGAUGGCGAAGGCAGCCAUCUGGCCUAAUACUGACGCUGAGGUACGAAAGCAUGGGGAGCAAACAGGAUUAGAUACCCCGGUAGUCCCUGUCUCUUAUAA
RNAcentral lists this ribosomal RNA (301 nucleotides) under uncultured bacterium. Its description in RNAcentral is "partial 16S ribosomal RNA". It matches the Rfam family "Bacterial small subunit ribosomal RNA", at positions 509 to 809 of the family's 1533-position model. The record is from RNAcentral.